This 253-nucleotide ribosomal RNA is filed under the name uncultured bacterium. RNAcentral describes it as "partial 16S ribosomal RNA". It matches the Rfam family "Bacterial small subunit ribosomal RNA", at positions 524 to 776 of the family's 1533-position model. The record is from RNAcentral.
UACGUAGGGUGCAAGCGUUAAUCGGAAUUACUGGGCGUAAAGCGUGCGCAGGCGGUUGUGCAAGACAGAUGUGAAAUCCCCGGGCUUAACCUGGGAAUUGCAUUUGUGACUGCACGGCUAGAGUGUGUCAGAGGGGGGUAGAAUGCCACGUGUAGCAGUGAAAUGCGUAGAGAUGUGGAGGAAUACCGAUGGCGAAGGCAGCCCCCUGGGAUAACACUGACGCUCAUGCACGAAAGCGUGGGGAGCAAACAGG